AGAAUCAACGCUGGCGGCGUGCCUAACACAUGCAAGUCGCACGAGAAAGUGGAGCAAUCCAUGAGUAAAGUGGCGCACGGGUGAGUAACACGUGAAUCAUCUACCUCCGAGUGGGGAAUAACCUAGAGAAAUCUGGGCUAAUACCGCAUAACACUUACGAGUCAAAGCAGCAAUGCGCUUGGAGAGGAGUUCGCGGCCGAUUAGUUAGUUGGCGGGGUAAUGGCCCACCAAGACGAUGAUCGGUA
This 245-nucleotide ribosomal RNA is filed under the name uncultured bacterium. Its description in RNAcentral is "partial small subunit ribosomal RNA". It matches the Rfam family "Bacterial small subunit ribosomal RNA", at positions 26 to 285 of the family's 1533-position model. The record is from RNAcentral.